CUGAAACAUCUAAGUAGCUGCAGGAAGAGAAAGCAAAAGCGAUUGCCUUAGUAGCGGCGAGCGAAACGGCAGGAGGGCAAACCGAAGUGUUUACACUUCGGGGUUGUAGGACUGCGAUAUAGGAUUAAUCAUUAUAGAAGAAUUACCUGGGAAGGUAAGCCAAAGAGAGUAACAGCCUCGUAUUUAAAAUGAUAGAUUAACCUUAGCAGUAUCCUGAGUACGGCGAGACACGCGAAAUCUCGUCGGAAUCUGGGAGGACCAUCUCCCAACCCUAAAUACUCUCUAGUGACCGAUAGUGAACCAGUACCGUGAGGGAAAGGUGAAAAGCACCCCGGGAGGGGAGUGAAAUAGAACCAGAAACCGUGUGCCUACAACAAGUUCGAGCCCGUUAAUGGGUGAGAGCGUGCCUUUUGUAGAAUGAACCGGCGAGUUACGAUAUGAUGCGAGGUUAAGUUGAAGAGACGGAGCCGUAGGGAAACCGAGUCUUAAUAGGGCGCCAUAGUAUCAUGUUGUAGACCCGAAACCAUGUGACCUACCCAUGAGCAGGUUGAAGGUGAGGUAAAACUCACUGGAGGACCGAACCAGGGCACGUUGAAAAGUGCUUGGAUGACUUGUGGGUAGCGGAGAAAUUCCAAACGAACUUGGAGAUAGCUGGUUCUCUCCGAAAUAGCUUUAGGGCUAGCGUCGAUGUUAAGUCUCUUGGAGGUAGAGCACUGUUUGGGUGAGGGGUCCAUCCCGGAUUACCAAUCUCAGAUAAACUCCGAAUGCCAACGAGAUAUAAUCGGCAGUCAGACUGCGAGUGCUAAGAUCCGUAGUCGAAAGGGAAACAGCCCAGACCACCAGCUAAGGUCCCAAAAUAUAUGUUAAGUGGAAAAGGAUGUGGGGUUGCACAGACAACUAGGAUGUUAGCUUAGAAGCAGCUAUUCAUUCAAAGAGUGCGUAAUAGCUCACUAGUCGAGUGACCCUGCGCCGAAAAUGUACCGGGGCUAAAACAUAUUACCGAAGCUGUGGAUGACACAAAAGUGUCAUGGUAGGAGAGCGUUCUAUGUGUGAAGAAGGUGUACCGUGAGGAGCGCUGGAACGCAUAGAAGUGAGAAUGCCGGUAUGAGUAGCGCAAGACAGGUGAGAAUCCUGUCCACCGUAAGACUAAGGUUUCCAGGGGAAGGCUCGUCCGCCCUGGGUUAGUCGGGACCUAAGGAGAGACCGAAAGGUGUAUCCGAUGGACAACAGGUUGAUAUUCCUGUACUAGAGUAUAUAGUGAUGGAGGGACGCAGUAGGCUAACUAAACCAGACGAUUGGAAGUGUCUGGUCAAACAGUGAGGUGUGAUAUGAGUCAAAUGCUUAUAUCUUUAACAUUGAGCUGUGACGAGGAGCGAAGUUUAGUAGCGAAGUUAGUGAUGUCACACUGCCAAGAAAAGCUUCUAGCGAUACAUAUACUCUACCCGUACCGCAAACCGACACAGGUAGUCGAGGCGAGUAGCCUCAGGUGAGCGAGAGAACUCUCGUUAAGGAACUCGGCAAAAUGGCCCCGUAACUUCGGGAGAAGGGGCGCUGAUUUUAGAUCAGCCGCAGUGAAUAGGCCCAAGCAACUGUUUAUCAAAAACACAGCUCUCUGCUAAAUCGUAAGAUGAUGUAUAGGGGGUGACGCCUGCCCGGUGCUGGAAGGUUAAGAGGAGUGCUUAGCGUAAGCGAAGGUAUGAAUUGAAGCCCCAGUAAACGGCGGCCGUAACUAUAACGGUCCUAAGGUAGCGAAAUUCCUUGUCGGGUAAGUUCCGACCCGCACGAAAGGCGUAAUGAUUUGGGCACUGUCUCAACGAGAGACUCGGUGAAAUUUUAGUACCUGUGAAGAUGCAGGUUACCCGCGACAGGACGGAAAGACCCCAUGGAGCUUUACUGCAGUUUGAUAUUGAGUAUCUGUACCACAUGUACAGGAUAGGUAGGAGCCUAUGAUAACGGGACGCCAGUUUCGUUUGAGGCGUUGUUGGGAUACUACCCUUGUGUUAUGGCUACUCUAACCCAGAUAGGCAAUCCCUAUCGGAGACAGUGUCUGACGGGCAGUUUGACUGGGGCGGUCGCCUCCUAAAAGGUAACGGAGGCGCCCAAAGGUUCCCUCAGACUGGUUGGAAAUCAGUCGUAGAGUGUAAAGGUAUAAGGGAGCUUGACUGCGAGAGCUACAACUCGAGCAGGGACGAAAGUCGGGCUUAGUGAUCCGGUGGUU
RNAcentral lists this ribosomal RNA (2218 nucleotides) under Streptococcus agalactiae MC634. RNAcentral's name for it is "bacterial LSU rRNA". It matches the Rfam family "Bacterial large subunit ribosomal RNA", at positions 193 to 2428 of the family's 2925-position model. Lineage: Bacteria; Bacillati; Bacillota; Bacilli; Lactobacillales; Streptococcaceae. The record is from RNAcentral.